This 259-nucleotide long non-coding RNA is filed under the name Nicotiana benthamiana. RNAcentral's name for it is "long non-coding RNA (NBEN_LNC031748)". The record is from RNAcentral. Lineage: Eukaryota; Viridiplantae; Streptophyta; Magnoliopsida; Solanales; Solanaceae.
UCCAUAUGUUCUUUGGAGGCUAUAAAAUUGUCCAUAUGCACAUGUUUUGCAGUUGCAUUCCUUCCAAAAUUCUUCCUCCUUGGUUUGAAAUCUGUAGGAUAGCCUACCAGUUUGUAACAGACAUCCCUAUUGUGCCCCUUGUACUUGCAGUAAUAACAAUACGACUGAUUCUUCUGCUUAUAACCUCCAGCAUGUGCUUGUCCUGCGCUAUAGCCCACAACAUUAGCUUCAUAACUUGCAUUGGAAGCCAAUGAGUUAG